This 994-nucleotide ribosomal RNA is filed under the name Plasmodium inui. RNAcentral describes it as "SSU rRNA". It matches the Rfam family "Eukaryotic small subunit ribosomal RNA", at positions 162 to 1081 of the family's 1831-position model. Lineage: Eukaryota; Apicomplexa; Aconoidasida; Haemosporida; Plasmodiidae. The record is from RNAcentral.
AGCUAAUACUUGCUUUAGCACUCUUGAUUAAGUUCUUGAGUGUGUACUUGUUAAGCCUUUUAAGAAAAAAGUUAUUAACUUAAGGAAUUAUAACAAAGAAGCAACACGUAAAUGGAUUUUCCAUUUUUUAGUGUGUAUCAAUCGAGUUUCUGACCUAUCAGCUUUUGAUGUUAGGGUAUUGGCCUAACAUGGCUAUGACGGGUAACGGGGAAUUAGAGUUCGAUUCCGGAGAGGGAGCCUGAGAAAUAGCUACCACAUCUAAGGAAGGCAGCAGGCGCGUAAAUUACCCAAUUCUAAAGAAGAGAGGUAGUGACAAGAAAUAACAAUACAAGGCCAAUCUGGCUUUGUAAUUGGAAUGAUGGGAAUUUAAAACCUUCCCAAAACUCAAUUGGAGGGCAAGUCUGGUGCCAGCAGCCGCGGUAAUUCCAGCUCCAAUAGCGUAUAUUAAAAUUGUUGCAGUUAAAACGCUCGUAGUUGAAUUUCAAAGAAUCGAUAUUUUAAGUAGCACUUUGUAGAUUAAUCCACAUAACUGAUACUACGUAUCGACUUUGUGCACAUUUUUCUACUUAUGUGUUCUUUUAAUUAAAAUGAUUCUUUUUAAGAUCUUUCUUUUUUGCUUCGGCAUUUUAGGAGAUCUUGUUACUUUGAGUAAAUUAGAGUGUUCAAAGCAAACAGAUUAUAGCAUCUUUAUGCGUUUGAAUACUACAGCAUGGAAUAACAAAAUUGAACAAGUCAGAAUUUUGUUCUUUUUUCUUAUUUUGGCUUAGUUACGAUUAAUAGGAGUAGCUUGGGGGCAUUUGUAUUCAGAUGUCAGAGGUGAAAUUCUUAGAUUUUCUGGAGACAAACAACUGCGAAAGCAUUUGCCUAAAAUACUUCCAUUAAUCAAGAACGAAAGUUAAGGGAGUGAAGACGAUCAGAUACCGUCGUAAUCUUAACCAUAAACUAUGCCGACUAGGCUUUGGAUGAAAGAUUUUAAAAUAAGAGUUUUUUCUCU